RNAcentral lists this transfer RNA (85 nucleotides) under Nitratidesulfovibrio vulgaris str. Hildenborough. RNAcentral describes it as "tRNA-Und (NNN) (tRNA-Und-NNN-1-1)". The record is from RNAcentral. Lineage: Bacteria; Pseudomonadati; Thermodesulfobacteriota; Desulfovibrionia; Desulfovibrionales; Desulfovibrionaceae. RNAcentral also lists the same sequence under 1 other name.
AAGACGGUACAGGAAUCAGCUGAAAACGGCCUUUAAGCGCCUCCUAAGCGCUAGGCCACAAGUUCGAUUCUUGUCAGGCGCACCA